RNAcentral lists this long non-coding RNA (627 nucleotides) under Trifolium pratense (red clover). Its description in RNAcentral is "long non-coding RNA (TPRA_LNC006027)". The record is from RNAcentral. Lineage: Eukaryota; Viridiplantae; Streptophyta; Magnoliopsida; Fabales; Fabaceae.
ACAGGUUUUUGUACUUAAAGUUGAAUUUUUGAUGAAGAAUUAAUGUUUGAACUGAUAUAUGCUGGUUGGGCUAGAGAAAGCCAGAGAAAGCUAGAAAUUUGGUUGAAUUGGCAGAGAGUUUAUGGCUUAAGCCAGAGAAAGCUACAGAUCCUGUUGAAUUGGCAGAGAGUUUCUGGCUUAAGCCAGAUAAAGCUACAUACCUUGUUGUAUUGGUAAAACAUUUCUGGCUCCAGCCAGAGAAAGCCAGAAGAGCUGAGAGGUGACUCAGAGGACACGUGUUAGCAAACCCAGCUAUGAAGUAAGGUAGCUGGCUGAGCCAGCUUAAAACUCCAGUUUCACUAUAAAUAGAUACCAGAUGCAGAAAAACAGAAUAUAUACCAUUCCCACCACUCAAAUUCGUCUAGGAGAGACCUAGGAGGCAGAUUCAAGGGGUUUUGGAGGUGGAUACACAACAAUAGUUGAGGAAUCAUCAUUGUAAUGUUUGUUCAUCUCUUUUCUUCUUAAUCUUUUGUAAAGUUCUCAUGAAUAUGGGUAACUAAUUUCUCUUGUUGUUAGGAUUGAAUGUAAAUUACUCUAUUAGUAUGUGUUUAUCUUGAUCAUGGUGUUAUAUAUAUUCUAGUUACAAAU